AUUGAACGCUGGCGGCAGGCCUAACACAUGCAAGUCGAGCGGAUGAAGGGAGCUUGCUCCUGGAUUCAGCGGCGGACGGGUGAGUAAUGCCUAGGAAUCUGCCUGGUAGUGGGGGAUAACGUCCGGAAACGGGCGCUAAUACCGCAUACGUCCUGAGGGAGAAAGUGGGGGAUCUUCGGACCUCACGCUAUCAGAUGAGCCUAGGUCGGAUUAGCUAGUUGGUGGGGUAAAGGCCUACCAAGGCGACGAUCCGUAACUGGUCUGAGAGGAUGAUCAGUCACACUGGAACUGAGACACGGUCCAGACUCCUACGGGAGGCAGCAGUAGGGAAUAUUGGACAAUGGGCGAAAGCCUGAUCCAGCCAUGCCGCGUGUGUGAAGAAGGUCUUCGGAUUGUAAAGCACUUUUAGUUGGGAAGAAGAGCAGUAAGUUAAUACCUUGCUGUUUUGACGUUACCAACAGAGAAAGCACCGGCUAACUUCGUG
This 484-nucleotide ribosomal RNA is filed under the name uncultured bacterium. RNAcentral describes it as "partial 16S ribosomal RNA". It matches the Rfam family "Bacterial small subunit ribosomal RNA", at positions 30 to 507 of the family's 1533-position model. The record is from RNAcentral.